Molecule: long non-coding RNA, 1931 nt
Organism: Drosophila gunungcola (fruit fly)
Lineage: Eukaryota; Metazoa; Arthropoda; Insecta; Diptera; Drosophilidae
Exons: 4
Source: RefSeq, a predicted model, not a curated record
AAUUAUGCAGCGCAGCGGCGUUACUUUAGCAUUUCGUCAAAACGAAUUUACCCUUUAAAGUGGUCAACCGUUCGCAAGAGAGGACCGAAUUAGUUUAUUUAAAUAAACUUUAAAGUUUCAGAUAUGUUACCCCCCGAUCCCCCCUUUAUCAGUGUAUUUGUCAAUUUUUGAAGGUAAUAAAAACGGGUCAAAUUUGCGACGCAGUCUGCUACUCUUCUAUGCUUUUGUGAUGUUUCUUUUGUGUUUGUCAUUAGUGUUUGUAGACAAUUUUGGAUAUUCUUUUUUUCGCUCAUUUGUAUGUUAUCAUUUUCUAUAGGCGCUUCUUGUAACUGCGAAUUUUCACGCAUGUACAUCUUUGAUCUUUGGUGCACAGAAGAGGGCAAAAAUGCCGAUAAAACUCGAAGAGUGACUAAUUUGGUAGAAGAGAGCAUUAAGAGCAAGGGAUACGCAGUUGACAUGAUAACACUUAAGAACUGCAUUAGUUACAUUUGCAAAAAAAUUAUUGCCUUUUGGACUAAAUACAAGCGUAUUAAGAGUUUAAUUGUUCAAUAUCAAUAUCAUUAUAAUUGAGCCUCCUCAUCGAAGGGUUUCAAGUGCUGAACGUGGACGACCCAAAAUUGAUUUAGCCGAGUCCUCAAAAAGGACAAAACGUCGUCGGCUAGCCCUACUAGAAACACAUUAUGAGUGUGCAGCUUCUGUUUUGCGCUCCUCCGAUUUUCCACCGAUCCUAAAGUCAUCCGAACCAAAUAUUGAAAAGGUUUUAUCGCUUUUAAUGGAAACUGGAAUCACGAAACACCAAUACUUGCUCAUUCGUGAAUUCAUUAAUAGUGAAGCCCCAUGCAAUAUAUUGCCAAGUUAUGAGAAAAUUCUCAAAUUUAAGAAUUCAUGAUAUCCGAAAGACAUAACAGUAGCUGAAACAUAUGCAGAAGUCGAGCUGCAGAGUCUACUAGACAACACAGCUUUAAGUAUUUUACAGCUCCAAAAACUCUAAUUGAAAAUUGUCUUGAUGGCACAGAGGACACAUUAAAAUUUAUUGGAAAAUGGGGAUUUAAUGGCAGUACUGGGCACAGUGAAUACAAGCAAAAGUUUUCAAACUGUAAUGACGAUGAUAGAAGUCUAUUUUUAAUAUCGUACGUCCCACUUCAGCUAAUAACUGAAAGUAACUCCAAAAUAAUAUGGAAAAAUCCUAGACCAUCAUCUACACGCAAUUGUAGGCCAAUCAGACUUCAAUUUAAAAAGGAAACAGCCAUACUAUCCGUUGAAGAAGAAGUCUACUUCAAAAAUAAAAUACACAACUUAAUGCCAACCGAAUUUCAAAUUCCCGAUAAAAAAUUAUUAACAAAUUAUGGCCUGCACCUUACUAUGGUGGAUGGUAAAGUGUGCAACGCGUUAAGCAACACCUUAAUGUACAGCAAAGAAAAGAACGAGUCCUCACGGAGUUUCGCAAUAAAAUGGGAAUAAUUGUGGAUAAGCCAAGAGACGGAGGCAGAGGAACUUCCAACGAUGUAAAUACAGCCAGGACAUUUUUUGGUAACCCGAGUGUGUCAUCUGAUAUUACAGGCAUUGAUGAAGAAGUAAUAACUCGAUGCGCAACGAUAUUGUAAGCCUUAGCAUCAGGAUAUUCCAUUAGUGCUACAAAAUUUGAAAGCUAUGCGUUGGAUACUACUAAGAAGUUGAUAAAAAUAUAUCCAUGGUACUAUCUUCCACCAACAGUGCAUAAAAUCUUAAUUCAUGGUGCGAAAGUAAUCGAGCACUUUAGAGCAUAAUCGCUGUCAAUUGGAGAGCUCUCAGAAGAAGCUGCGGAGUCGAACAACAAAGAAAUAAAGAAGUGCCGGCUGCAACAUACUCGGAAGAUGUCUCGCAUACUGACAGAUUUAAUUAAUACACAUUUGUUGCGUUCAGAUCCUUUUAAAACAAGUCAAAGAAAACUA